GGUUUGGAAACCCUUGAGAUAGUGUACUGUGCUGAUCUCACGGAGGUAUUAAUCCGUUUGAGCCCUGAGCUUCAAGAGCAGGAUGAAAUUAAAGAAUUCCGUGAGCUGAGGCGCAUCCACCUGCAUGAGCUCCCCAUGCUGCAGCGCAUCUGUGGACGCAGGAUAUUUGCGCCUAAACUCGAGACCAUCAAGAUCAGGGGCUGCUGGAGCCUUGGGCGCCUGCCUGCCGUCGGACACAACACUAAGCCGCCCAAGGUGGACUGCGAGAAGGAGUGGUGGGACAACCUGGAGUGGGAUGGGUUGGAGGAGAACCACCAUCCUUCCCUCUACGAGCCAACCCACUCGUUGUACUGCAAGGCCCAGCUGCCCAGAGGCAUCGUACUCAGGUAA
This 390-nucleotide ribosomal RNA is filed under the name Triticum aestivum (bread wheat). RNAcentral describes it as "partial small subunit ribosomal RNA". Lineage: Eukaryota; Viridiplantae; Streptophyta; Magnoliopsida; Poales; Poaceae. The record is from RNAcentral.